RNAcentral lists this ribosomal RNA (510 nucleotides) under uncultured bacterium. RNAcentral's name for it is "partial 16S ribosomal RNA". It matches the Rfam family "Bacterial small subunit ribosomal RNA", at positions 28 to 507 of the family's 1533-position model. The record is from RNAcentral.
GACGAACGCUGGCGGCGUGCUUAACACAUGCAAGUCGAACGAAGAGCGAUGGAAGCUUGCUUCUAUCAAUCUUAGUGGCGAACGGGUGAGUAACGCGUAAUCAACCUGCCCUUCAGAGGGGGACAACAGUUGGAAACGACUGCUAAUACCGCAUACGAUCUAACCUCGGCAUCGAGGAUAGAUGAAAGGUGGCCUCUACAUGUAAGCUAUCACUGAAGGAGGGGAUUGCGUCUGAUUAGCUAGUUGGAGGGGUAACGGCCCACCAAGGCGAUGAUCAGUAGCCGGUCUGAGAGGAUGAACGGCCACAUUGGGACUGAGACACGGCCCAGACUCCUACGGGAGGCAGCAGUGGGGAAUCUUCCGCAACGGACGAAAGUCUGACGGAGCAACGCCGCGUGAGUGAUGACGGCCUUCGGGUUGUAAAGCUCUGUUAAUCGGGACGAAAGGCCUUCUUGCGAAUAGUUAGAAGGAUUGACGGUACCGGAAUAGAAAGCCACGGCUAACUACGUG